This 1376-nucleotide ribosomal RNA is filed under the name metagenome. RNAcentral's name for it is "bacterial SSU rRNA". It matches the Rfam family "Bacterial small subunit ribosomal RNA", at positions 8 to 1385 of the family's 1533-position model. The record is from RNAcentral.
AGAGUUUGAUCCUGGCUCAGGAUGAACGCUAGCGACAGGCCUAACACAUGCAAGUCGAGGGGUAACAUGAGUGCUUGCACUUGAUGACGACCGGCGCACGGGUGCGUAACGCGUAUGCAACUUACCUUGUACUGGGGAAUAGCCCGUGGAAACGCGGAUUAAUGUCCCAUAACACUACAAUUUCGCAUGGAAAAGUGGUUAAAGUUCCGACGGUACAAGAUGGGCAUGCGUGACAUUAGCUAGUUGGUGAGGUAAGGGCUCACCAAGGCGACGAUGUCUAGGGGUUCUGAGAGGAAGGUCCCCCACACUGGUACUGAGACACGGACCAGACUCCUACGGGAGGCAGCAGUGAGGAAUAUUGGUCAAUGGGCGCAAGCCUGAACCAGCCAUGUCGCGUGCAGGAAGACUGCCCUACGGGUUGUAAACUGCUUUUGUAUGGGAAGAAACGUUGGUACGUGUACCAAUUUGCCGGUACCAUACGAAUAAGGAUCGGCUAACUCCGUGCCAGCAGCCGCGGUAAUACGGAGGAUCCAAGCGUUAUCCGGAUUUAUUGGGUUUAAAGGGUGCGUAGGCGGUAGAAUAAGUCAGUGGUGAAAUCCUGCAGCUUAACUGUAGAACUGCCAUUGAUACUGUUUUACUUGAGUGUAAUUGAGGUAGGCGGAAUGUGUUGUGUAGCGGUGAAAUGCAUAGAUAUAACACAGAACACCGAUUGCGAAGGCAGCUUACUAAGUUAUAACUGACGCUGAUGCACGAAAGCGUGGGUAGCGAACAGGAUUAGAUACCCUGGUAGUCCACGCCGUAAACGAUGAUUACUCGCUGUAGGCAAUACACCGUCUGUGGCUGAGCGAAAGCAUUAAGUAAUCCACCUGGGGAGUACGUUGGCAACAAUGAAACUCAAAGGAAUUGACGGGGGCCCGCACAAGCGGAGGAACAUGUGGUUUAAUUCGAUGAUACGCGAGGAACCUUACCUGGACUUAAAUGUAGAUUGACGUAUCCAGAGAUGGAUAUUUCUUCGGACAAUUUACAAGGUGCUGCAUGGUUGUCGUCAGCUCGUGCCGUGAGGUGUCGGGUUAAGUCCCAUAACGAGCGCAACCCCUGUUGUUAGUUACCAGCACAUCAUGGUGGGGACUCUAACAAGACUGCCGGUGUGAACCGCGAGGAAGGUGGGGAUGACGUCAAAUCAGCACGGCCCUUACGUCCAGGGCUACACACGUGUUACAAUGGCCGGUACAGAGGGCAGCUACUUGGUGACAAGAUGCGAAUCUCAAAAACCGGUCUCAGUUCGGAUCGAAGUCUGCAACCCGACUUCGUGAAGCUGGAUUCGCUAGUAAUCGCAUAUCAGCCAUGAUGCGGUGAAUACGUUCCCGGGCCUUGUA